Molecule: ribosomal RNA, 493 nt
Filed under: uncultured Corynebacterium sp.
Lineage: Bacteria; Bacillati; Actinomycetota; Actinomycetes; Mycobacteriales; Corynebacteriaceae
Description: bacterial SSU rRNA
Rfam family: Bacterial small subunit ribosomal RNA
Source: RNAcentral
GUAGUUCGACUCCGUGGCUACGAGGACGACGCUGGCGGCGUGCUUAACACAUGCAAGUCGAACGGAAAGGCCUCUUGCUUGCAAGGGGUACUCGAGUGGCGAACGGGUGAGUAACACGUGGGUGAUCUGCCUUGCACUCUGGGAUAAGCUUGGGAAACUGGGUCUAAUACCGGAUAUGAACUGCCUUUAGUGUGGUGGUUGGAAAGUUUUUUCGGUGCAAGAUGAGCUCGCGGCCUAUCAGCUUGUUGGUGGGGUAAUGGCCUACCAAGGCGUCGACGGGUAGCCGGCCUGAGAGGGUGUACGGCCACAUUGGGACUGAGAUACGGCCCAGACUCCUACGGGAGGCAGCAGUGGGGAAUAUUGCACAAUGGGCGGAAGCCUGAUGCAGCGACGCCGCGUGGGGGAUGACGGCCUUCGGGUUGUAAACUCCUUUUCGACAGGGACGAAGCUUUUUGUGACGGUACCUGUAUAAGAAGCACCGGCUAACUACGUG